AACGCACGAGACCUGCGGACCUGCGGAAGGAUCAUUAUAGAGUUUUCUAACUCCCAAACCCAUGUGAACUUACCUUUGUUGCCUCGGCGGAGCCUACCCGGUACCUACCCUGUAGCGCCCCGCCGGUGGACUUCUAAACUAUUGUUAUUUUAAUGAUAUCUGAGAGUCUUAUUUUAAUAAGUCAAAACUUUCAACAAUGGAUCUCU
This 206-nucleotide unclassified non-coding RNA is filed under the name soil metagenome. RNAcentral describes it as "partial contains 5.8S ribosomal RNA, internal transcribed spacer 2, and large subunit ribosomal RNA". The record is from RNAcentral.